CUCGUUCGCCAAAAUCAAAUUCGUAACGACUCUCGGCAACGGAUAUCUCGGCUCUCGCAUCGAUGAAGAACGUAGCGAAAUGCGAUACUUGGUGUGAAUUGCAGAAUCAUGUGAAUCAUCGAGUCUUUGAACGCAAGUUGCGCCCGAAGCCGUCAGGUUGA
RNAcentral lists this ribosomal RNA (161 nucleotides) under Pipturus kauaiensis. Its description in RNAcentral is "5.8S ribosomal RNA". The stretch from base 28 to 161 matches the Rfam family "5.8S ribosomal RNA", at positions 1 to 132 of the family's 154-position model. From Rfam's summary of the family: 5.8S ribosomal RNA (5.8S rRNA) is a component of the large subunit of the eukaryotic ribosome. It is transcribed by RNA polymerase I as part of the 45S precursor that also contains 18S and 28S rRNA. Functionally, it is thought that 5.8S rRNA may be involved in ribosome translocation. The record is from RNAcentral. Lineage: Eukaryota; Viridiplantae; Streptophyta; Magnoliopsida; Rosales; Urticaceae. RNAcentral also lists the same sequence under 1 other name.